Ovis aries (sheep) is the source of this 73-nucleotide non-coding RNA. Lineage: Eukaryota; Metazoa; Chordata; Mammalia; Artiodactyla; Bovidae. The record is from Rfam.
UCCCUGGUGGCUCAGAGGUUAAAGCGUCUGCCUGGAAUGCGGAAGACCUGGGUUCGAGCCCUGGGCCAGGGAA